RNAcentral lists this long non-coding RNA (562 nucleotides) under Theobroma cacao (cacao). RNAcentral describes it as "long non-coding RNA (TCAC_LNC001489)". Lineage: Eukaryota; Viridiplantae; Streptophyta; Magnoliopsida; Malvales; Malvaceae. The record is from RNAcentral.
UCUUCUUCUUCUUCUUCUCUUUCACGUUGCUUCCAACCUCCAUGGAAGCUUGAUAUGGAGCUUGCAUGAUUUUCUCUCUCUAGCUCUAGUUUUCAUACUUUUGAGCCCUUUUGAGUAGAACUCUUGUAUUCUUUCACUCUCUCACUUCAAAACCCUUGAUAAAUCUUAUUUUCAUACUUUCUCUCACUAGUUGGGCAUUCUAGAGAGAGAAAAAGAGAAUUAUUCCAUUUGUGUGGAAGCUAUUGGAAGAGAAUUCAACUACAAAGGAACCCUAGGGUAAGUGAUGAAUUAAGUUUGGUUUUUAGCUGUGAAUAAUGGCUAGUAAUUUGGAGUAUGAACUGUUUUAUUGUUGAGUAUGUUCAUUACUUUUUAGUGAUUAAGAUAGUGAACAUAGAUAGCCAUUUAAUGUGGCAAUUGAAAGCUAGCUAAGAGAUAGCUUUUAAGGUUCAUAGUGUGUGAAUUGACCUAUUGCUUAUGCUAAUGUGAUCCUAGGUUCUAAUGAAGUCCCAUCCUUCCAAUUGGAUCAUUAGGGGAAAUAGAGUCAGCUAAAGGCUCAACAAUA